This 906-nucleotide ribosomal RNA is filed under the name uncultured bacterium. RNAcentral describes it as "bacterial SSU rRNA". It matches the Rfam family "Bacterial small subunit ribosomal RNA", at positions 20 to 916 of the family's 1533-position model. The record is from RNAcentral.
UGGCUCAGGAUGAACGCUAGCUACAGGCUUAACACAUGCAAGUCGAGGGGAAACGAUAGAGAAAGCUUGCUUUUUCUAGGCGUCGACCGGCGCACGGGUGAGUAACGCGUAUCCAACCUGCCCACCACUUGGGGAUAACCUUGCGAAAGUAAGACUAAUACCCAAUGACGUCUCUAGAAGACAUCUGAAGGAGAUUAAAGAUUCAUCGGUGAUGGAUGGGGAUGCGUCUGAUUAGCUUGUUGGCGGGGUAACGGCCCACCAAGGCGACGAUCAGUAGGGGUUCUGAGAGGAAGGUCCCCCACAUUGGAACUGAGACACGGUCCAAACUCCUACGGGAGGCAGCAGUGAGGAAUAUUGGUCAAUGGGCGAGAGCCUGAACCAGCCAAGUAGCGUGCAGGAUGACGGCCCUAUGGGUUGUAAACUGCUUUUAUAAGGGAAUAAAGUGAGCCUCGUGAGACUUUUUGCAUGUACCUUAUGAAUAAGGACCGGCUAAUUCCGUGCCAGCAGCCGCGGUAAUACGGAAGGUCCGGGCGUUAUCCGGAUUUAUUGGGUUUAAAGGGAGCGUAGGCCGCAGGUUAAGCGUGUUGUGAAAUGUAGGGGCUCAACCUCUGCACUGCAGCGCGAACUGGCUUGCUUGAGUACGCACAAAGUGGGCGGAAUUCGUGGUGUAGCGGUGAAAUGCUUAGAUAUCACGAAGAACUCCGAUUGCGAAGGCAGCUCACUGGAGCGCAACUGACGCUGAAGCUCGAAAGUGCGGGUAUCGAACAGGAUUAGAUACCCUGGUAGUCCGCACGGUAAACGAUGGAUGCCCGCUGUUGGUCUGAAUAGGUCAGCGGCCAAGCGAAAGCAUUAAGCAUCCCACCUGGGGAGUACGCCGGCAACGGUGAAACUCAAAGGAAUUGACGG